AUCAGAGGUGGAACAUUUUUGCAUCAUAACUGGUUAUAUGGGAAUAAAGUUACAUAAAAAGUUCUGACUGCUCAACACUCAACUAUCAGAGAAGACAUCCGGGCAACAUCACAGACCUAUGUGACGUAAUUACUUGCAGCGAUGAUUCCAAUGCUGCCCAAAAUGUUUUAUUCUCACUAUGGACCAAACACAUAUCCCCCUGCAACUCACCUCUGCUAUGAGGUCUAUAAGCAGAAAACACUUAUUGACUCAGGUCACUUUACAAACACUGAUGAAAGCCACGCUGAGGAAGUGUUCAUUGGUGAGCGGUUCAAAGAUGUCUGGAAAAGCUGCACAAUUGUCUGGUACAUCUCCUGGAGUCCGUGCGAUCAUUGUAUGGAUAUCUUGCUGAAGACAUUUCUUCCCAACAACCCCCACCUCACAUUGCACAUCAUAUUUGCCAAGUUGUACAGACACACAUCGAAGAGUAACAUCCGAAACCUCCGUGCAAGAGGAGUGAAAAUACGUGUCAUGUUUUAUUUAGAUUUUCGUUGGUGCUGAAAGCAUUUUGUUGAAUCUACGGAAUCCUUGGUCCCAUGGAAAAAUAUGUUCAACAAUUAUUACAAGGUUUCUCGGAUGCUCUUUUUUGGAGAAUUUCAAAAGCAACAGUUAAACACAUGGAAUCAUAGGGCUAAUUCAGACCUGAUCGUUGGGGCGUGGCCUUGCAGAUCUUUUGUCCUUUGCUCUGGGGGCAUGUCCAGCUUCCCCGAAGAUGUUAGCUGCCCCCGGAGACCGG
Molecule: long non-coding RNA, 775 nt
Organism: Pseudophryne corroboree (corroboree frog)
Lineage: Eukaryota; Metazoa; Chordata; Amphibia; Anura; Myobatrachidae
Exons: 3
Source: RefSeq, a predicted model, not a curated record